RNAcentral lists this ribosomal RNA (406 nucleotides) under uncultured bacterium. RNAcentral's name for it is "partial 16S ribosomal RNA". It matches the Rfam family "Bacterial small subunit ribosomal RNA", at positions 29 to 526 of the family's 1533-position model. The record is from RNAcentral.
AUUGAACGCUGGCGGCAGGCCUAACACAUGCAAGUCGAGCGAGCGGCGGACGGGUGAGUAAUGUCUGGGAAACUGCCUGAUGGAGGGGGAUAACUACUGGAAACGGUAGCUAAUACCGCAUACCAUCAGAUGUGCCCAGGUGGGAUUAGCUAGUAGGUGGGGUAACGGCUCACCUAGGCGACGAUCCCUAGCUGGGGUGAGAGGAUGACCAGCCCCACUGGAAUUGAGACACGGUACAGACUCCUCGGGGAGGCAGCAGUGGAGAAUAGUGCACAAGGGGCGCAAGCCUGAGGCAGCCAUGCCGCGUGUGUGAAGAAGGCCUUCGGGUUGUAAAGCACUUUCAGCGGGGAGGCGUUACCCGAAGAAGAAGCACCGGCUAACUCCGUGCCAGCAGCCGCGGUAAUAC